This 442-nucleotide ribosomal RNA is filed under the name uncultured Rhodoferax sp. RNAcentral's name for it is "bacterial SSU rRNA". It matches the Rfam family "Bacterial small subunit ribosomal RNA", at positions 936 to 1382 of the family's 1533-position model. The record is from RNAcentral. Lineage: Bacteria; Pseudomonadati; Pseudomonadota; Betaproteobacteria; Burkholderiales; Comamonadaceae.
AUGAUGUGGUUAAUUCGAUGCAACGCGAAAACCUUACCCACCUUGACAUGUACGGAACCCUUUAGAGAUAGAGGGUGCUCGAAAGAGAGCCGUAACACAGGUGCUGCAUGGCUGUCGUCAGCUCGUGUCGUGAGAUGUUGGGUUAAGUCCCGCAACGAGCGCAACCCUUGUCAUUAGUUGCUACAUUCAGUUGGGCACUCUAAUGAGACUGCCGGUGACAAGCCGGAGGAAGGUGGGGAUGACGUCAAGUCCUCAUGGCCCUUAUAGGUGGGGCUACACACGUCAUACAAUGGCUGGUACAAAGGGUUGCCAACCCGCGAGGGGGAGCCAAUCCCAUAAAGCCAGUCGUAGUCCGGAUCGUAGUCUGCAACUCGACUACGUGAAGUCGGAAUCGCUAGUAAUCGUGGAUCAGAAUGUCACGGUGAAUACGUUCCCGGGUCUU